AUGAGCGGAAGACCGUCACGCAGUUUGAUCUUCGGCUCCCAUCCCAACAUCUUCUUUGCAUUUGUGAUGUCGGGCUUUCUCUGCCUUGGAUCAUCCGGGCAUGCGAGAUGGUAAAUUCGAUCAACCUCAACUAGUAAUUGUUCUGUGAUAUCUGCAAAAGUGUAUACAAUAUACGUCUAUACUCUAAUGAACGAAAAAUCAAAACUACUACAUGUAAUAAAAAAAUACCAUGACGAAUGAGCUCGAAUCUUGGAUGACCGAUCCACUUUUUAAGAUUGUCCUUUGAGCCAGUGAAAUAAUUAUCAGCAACGAUUACCUGAGAUAAUAAGAUACGUAUAAGCAGACGUAAAAUCCAUGUUAUGGCAUAACACUAGAAGAUUCGCUAUUAGGGGUGCAAACGAGCCGAGCUGAGCCCGAGCUUGAUUAAAUUAUGAGAGCUCAAUUAACUUAUGAGAGCUCGGGCUCGAUUCGAGCUUUGUUUUCAAAGCUCGAGCUCGGCUUGUUUGUAUUUUAUCAAGCUCGAGCUCGGCUCGGGCUCGGCUCGUUUAUUAUCUAUUAAUUAGUAUAUUAAAUAAAAAUAAUAUAAAUAAUAGACUUUUUAGGCUUGCGAGCUCGAUAAGUAAAGCUCGGGCUCGGGCUCGUUUACUAAAUAAGCUUAUUUUUAGGUUUGAAGUCGGCUUGUAAACAAGUUUAAAUAAGCUCGGCUCGACUCAGCUCGUUUACACUAAGGCUCGAUAAGGCUCGACGAGCCUAACGAGCUUCACAUGUGAGGCUCGAGCUCGGGCUCGAUAAACAAACGAGCUUUGUUUGAGGCUCAAGCUCGGCUCGGGCUCAAUAAGGCUCGGCUCGUUUCGAGCUUUUUCUCGAGCCGAUCUCGAGUCGUUUGCACCCCUAUUCGCUAUAAACAUUUCAACGGUAUUAAGAUUAAUGACAUCCAAACCUCAUUCUUUUCAUUUUCCAUCAGUUUAUCGACGAGGUGAGAGCCGAUAAAUCCAGCACCGCCAGUAACCAAUAUCCUCAUAUUUGACUGCAAAAUUUGGAGUUACGCAGCGGAGAAGGGGUCGGAGGUGGUUUCGUAGCUUUAUGUUCUCCAUUCGAUGCAUUACUCGCCAUUGUCAAAAGCCGAUUUCUGCAACAAAGGUUACAAGAAAUGAGUAUAGCUAAUAACACUUGAUAAAAUGGCUUAUAUCAUGUGAAAACUGAACUAAUAGUAAUACCCACACAAUGAUUUAAAAUUCAAGCAACAACACAAGACUAAUAAGUAAUAACUCCAACUCAAUACUCAACAAUUCAACUGAAGAUGACAUUGAUAAUAGUAAAAAGAGUUAAAUGCCAUUUUAGUCCCUGUGGUUUGGGCCAUU
This 1361-nucleotide long non-coding RNA is filed under the name Helianthus annuus (common sunflower). Its description in RNAcentral is "sRNA HanXRQr2_Chr05g0197591". Lineage: Eukaryota; Viridiplantae; Streptophyta; Magnoliopsida; Asterales; Asteraceae. The record is from RNAcentral.